RNAcentral lists this ribosomal RNA (488 nucleotides) under uncultured bacterium. Its description in RNAcentral is "partial 16S ribosomal RNA". It matches the Rfam family "Bacterial small subunit ribosomal RNA", at positions 28 to 507 of the family's 1533-position model. The record is from RNAcentral.
GACGAACGCUGGCGGCGUGCUUAACACAUGCAAGUCGAACGGCAAGGCCCUGCUUUUGUGGUGUGCUCGAGUGGCGAACGGGUGAGUAACACGUGAGUAACCUGCCCUUGACUUUGGGAUAACUUCAGGAAACUGGGGCUAAUACCGUAUAGGAGCUCCUCCUGCAUGGUGGGGGGUGGAAAGUUUCGGCUGUUGGGGAUGGACUCGCGGCUUAUCAGCUUGUUAGUGGGGUAGUGGCCCACCAAGGCGUUGACGGGUAGCCGGCCUGAGAGGGUGAUCGGCCACACUGGAGCUGAGACGCGGUCCAGACUCCUACGGGAGGCAGCAGUGGGGAAUAGUGGACAAUGGGCGCAAGCCUGAUCCAGCCAUACCGCGUGGGUGAAGAAGGCCUUCGGGUUGGAAAGCCCGUUUGUUGGGAAAGAAAAGCAGCAGGUUAAUACCCCGCUGUUGUGACGGUACCCAAAGAAUAAGCACCGGCUAACUUCGUG